RNAcentral lists this non-coding RNA (181 nucleotides) under Opitutales bacterium. Its description in RNAcentral is "6S RNA". It matches the Rfam family "6S / SsrS RNA". From Rfam's summary of the family: E. coli 6S RNA was the first non coding RNA to be sequenced, but its function was unknown until recently. It consists of 184 nucleotides that fold into an extended hairpin structure with a large single-stranded internal bulge. The record is from RNAcentral. Lineage: Bacteria; Pseudomonadati; Verrucomicrobiota; Opitutia; Opitutales.
AUAACCCUGCGGUGUUCGAUCUUAAACGGAGUGUCUGUCCUUUACUCUUUUGAAAUCGGGAGCUGAACCUUGGAGGUGGCUGUCCAGCCGUCAACCGGAAGACAAAAACCAACGAGGAAGCGCCCACCUUAGACACAAAAGGCCUAAGAACUCCCCCUUAUACGGCACAGGUGGGGCCACU